UUUUGAUACAUAUGCAGCUAGAGUCAAGAGCUCCAGGGUACUGGUUAGUUCAUAUUGUUGUUCCACCUAUAGGGUUGCUUUGAGGCUUGAAUGAAUCCCAUAUGAUAAGGCCCCACACCAGAGUUUUAGUUGAGUUUGCUCUUUCAAACUUGAUACCGUAAUGUACUGCAUCAACGUGAGAGCUUGUGAAUUUAUUUGCUAAUAAUAACUAUUAGAAAUUCAGCAAAGCCUUGAUCAACACUAUCCUCUUAAGGAUAUAUUGGAGAAUAUCAUGAGUCCUUUGAAGGAGAUAGUUCUCAGGUGAAGAAAGAUGCUAUUUCAAAGUAGAUGGUUAAAGUUUGCAGUUGAAACAAAUUUCUGUACAUUAUGAUGGAACUGGAGUGGCUUUAUACUGACUUCAUAGCCUGAAUGUAUUUCAUGAAAUAAUAAUUUUAAGCAAAUAAGCACAGGCACCAAAAUUGUUGGCUUGUUCUCAGUUAAAAUUUGGAAUUUAUGUGGCUGACUCAUAAAUAAUUCAUCAUUGAUAUAAACACUGCUACUUUUCAUUAAAAAAAAUCUUUUUCCAGGUCUCAGAAAUCAUUUUUGCAGCUUAUUUUUUAUUGCACAAAAGCUCGUCAUAGAUUAAUCAGUAGAGGAAAAUUUAGGUAUCAGGUGUUUUUAAAAAUAUUACAUUUUAAGGGCUUGCUGUUUAAAGUGAGAAUUUAAAUAUGAUUUAAAAUAUUUUUUCAGAGGGUGGAUAAAUGAUAAUAAAAUCUUGGGACUUAACAUUCUUAAAGCCAACAUCACCUCAAAAGACUUUCAUUUCUUUGCAGCUCCAGGUCAAAACUGUAAUAACCAUAUUACUUUUUGUUUUCAUUUUGGAGAGAAAGAUUUGUUGUUUGAAAUACAUGCAAAUGGAUGCUAAGAUCAGAAACGUCUUGCAGAAGUUAAUUUAUAAAGAUGUCUUCUAGAAAAACUCGUCUGCUAGGCUAUGUCUUUGAGCAAAGCACCACUUGGCCAGCCAAGGUUAUCCGUUUUGUCUCCUUGCCUGACAUUUUCUCUAUGAUAUAAUUCUCUCUGAGCCUCAUUUCCUAAGUCUUGAAUAUUGGCUGAAAUCUGUUAGAAGCAUUACCAUUAUUGAGAACAUUCUAAUCUAGUUUACUAAAUUUAGAGUAGAAAACAGAUCUCAGAGAGGCUGCAUGUACUUCACUGAAAGCUAUGAACAUAGUAGGAACCAAAAUGUGUGAUUCUCCCACUCAGUGUUUAUCUGUCGGUAAGCAGGCCAUUAGUACUUUUAAAUCAUGGAAGGUUUAUAAGCAGUGCAGCAAAUUAACAAAUAUAGCAGUAUGUUUGUGUCCAAAUGAUCAAUCUUUCCAAAUAAUUACCGUCAAGGGAUAUGAGGGCAUUCUAAAAUCCUCUUUGAGAAAUGAAUUUUAUGACAUUGAUAUAAUAACUUAUUAAUCACUUAAUAGUUCUUGAGGGUCUAUUUUGUGUUGGGCACUGCAAAUAAAGAGGCAAGAGCCAAUGUGUCCUUGUUCUUAAGGCAGCUGGAAGCAAUGAGAAUUAAAAGGAUAAAUUAAUAGGAAACACAAUUAGCAAAAUUGAAAGAUUGACUAGACUCGGGUUUAUAAGAGGAGGCAGAGAAGGUGAAGAUUAAUUCAUUAACAGUGAUUUCCAUUGUUUCUAUGAGUCACUGUACUAGGUUUUAUUAAAACUACUCCUCAAACCAACCUUAUUAUAUAAUAUUAUUAUCUCAUUAGACAAGCAAAUGGACACUCAAAAGUGUUAAGUCACAAAGUCACAGGGCUAGAACAUAAUGUAGGAAGGCAAUCUAUAGUCUUUUUUUUUCUGAAACAUGGUUUCUCUAUCUAUCCCUGACUGUGCUGGAACUCUGUCUCUGUCUCUGUCUCUGUCUCUGUCUCUGUCUCUGUCUCUGUCCCUCUCUGUCCCUCUCUGUCUCUCUCUGUCUCUGUCUCUCUGUCUCUCUCUGUCUCUCUCUCUCUCUCUCUCUCUCUCUCUCUCUCUCUCUCUCUCUCUCUCUCUCUCUCUCAACUGACUAGACUGGCAUCUAACUCAGAGAUGCCCCUGCCUCUCCCUCCCAAAUCCUGGGAUUAAAGGCAUGCACAACUACACCCAGCUAUAGUCCACUUCUUAAAAGUGUACUAAAUGGACUAUUUUCAGCCAGUAACAGGAAGAUGACACAGAUGCUGGUAAUUCCUUAAAUUAUGUUGCUGAGUAAGGUCCCAGGAACAUAGUCUGUGUAAGUACACUUUAUGGAAUUUGCACACUGAUAAAUUUGCCUAAUACUCUCAGAGAAUAUCAUCAUAACUAAGUGAUAUGAUAAAUGACUGAUUUCUAGAAUACAUCUACUGUUAAGGAGAAGAUACAUCUGUGAGAAAGGGACAGGGAUAACCAUGUCAUUUGUUUAGACAGAGUCAAGCUCUCCUUGUAUGAGGGAGGAAGUGUUUGCUGCCAUCAUUGGAAGCUAUGCACAUGUCAGUUCACAAGAUCAAAGACUACACUGAAUAGCCAAGGGGAUGGCCUGCAGUGCACACACUGGCUUUUGAGGAAAUAAGGACAGAAAAUAAGCCAAGAGAGCUUGUGAAAAUGUAAAAGUCAGAAGGGAGUGAGAAUAAAACACACGGCCCUUGUGUUGC
RNAcentral lists this long non-coding RNA (2636 nucleotides) under Mus musculus (house mouse). Its description in RNAcentral is "long non-coding RNA chr6:21540919-21543555". The record is from RNAcentral. Lineage: Eukaryota; Metazoa; Chordata; Mammalia; Rodentia; Muridae.